This 484-nucleotide ribosomal RNA is filed under the name uncultured bacterium. RNAcentral's name for it is "partial 16S ribosomal RNA". It matches the Rfam family "Bacterial small subunit ribosomal RNA", at positions 30 to 507 of the family's 1533-position model. The record is from RNAcentral.
AUUGAACGCUGGCGGCAGGCCUAACACAUGCAAGUCGAGCGGAUGAAGGGAGCUUGCUCCUGGAUUCAGCGGCGGACGGGUAAGUAAUGCCUAGGAAUCUGCCUGGUAGUGGGGGAUAACGUCCGGAAACGGGCGCUAAUACCGCAUACGUCCUGAGGGAGAAAGUGGGGGAUCUUCGGACCUCACGCUAUCAGAUGAGCCUAGGUCGGAUUAGCUAGUUGGUGGGGUAAAGGCCUACCAAGGCGACGAUCCGUAACUGGUCUGAGAGGAUGAUCAGUCACACUGGAACUGAGACACGGUCCAGACUCCUACGGGAGGCAGCAGUGGGGAAUAUUGGACAAUGGGCGAAAGCCUGAUCCAGCCAUGCCGCGUGUGCGAAGAAGGUCUUCGGAUUGUAAAGCACUUUAAGUUGGGAGGAAGGGCAGUAAGUUAAUACCUUGCUGUUUUGACGUUACCAACAGAAUAAGCACCGGCUAACUUCGUG